CGUGUGUUGGACGCCUCCAGCCCCUCCUGAAGCAGAUAGAAGGUUCUGGACUGUUUGGGAAUCGCAAACGUCACCCUCUUCUGCUGGAUCCUCCUGUAGACCUCUGUCUCCAGAGCAGGGUAUUUCCAUACUGCCGCCUCAGAGCUGUCAGGGACAUGGGCAGCUUAAUGGGGGGUGGAUUCACCUGGUGGACUGGCUUUGACUGCCUUUGAAGACCAUGACGUAUCUCUGGGGGAUCCCAAGAGUGGGGCUGAAAGCUAAACAGAGAUGGUCGGAGACCAGUGGUUGUCCUGUCCUGUCUCCCACUGUCUGGGGGGGGACGUCCCAUUGGUUGGGCUGUGAGAGGACGUGACUCGUCACUGGCUGGGGAGGAGCUCAUCAUGGUAUGGGGACUUCUCAUUGGUUGGGCUGUGUGAGGACGUGGUGGUUUCCUUUGGCCUCCUGUAUCAUGAGACUGAGCCCCAAGAUCCUAACAUCGAGUACCAGGA
Long non-coding RNA from Clupea harengus (Atlantic herring), 488 nucleotides. The record is from Ensembl. Lineage: Eukaryota; Metazoa; Chordata; Actinopteri; Clupeiformes; Clupeidae.